CAAGUACUGGUCUCAGAAGAUUGUGGAGAGCACCACAGUGGUCACCACGCAGUCCGCUGAGGUUGGAGCUGC
RNAcentral lists this microRNA precursor (72 nucleotides) under Macaca fascicularis (crab-eating macaque). RNAcentral's name for it is "mir-622 microRNA precursor family". It matches the Rfam family "mir-622 microRNA precursor family". The record is from Rfam by way of RNAcentral. RNAcentral also lists the same sequence under 2 other names. Lineage: Eukaryota; Metazoa; Chordata; Mammalia; Primates; Cercopithecidae.